Molecule: long non-coding RNA, 556 nt
Filed under: Androctonus crassicauda
Lineage: Eukaryota; Metazoa; Arthropoda; Arachnida; Scorpiones; Buthidae
Source: RNAcentral
GGAUAAUAACUGGAAUUUUUAAUGAAACGUUUUCGGUUAGUAUACAACCAUCUGAAGAUGGUUGUUUUCCAACCGAAAACGGUAUACGACCAUCUGAAGAUAGUAUACCGUUACAACGGUAUACAACCAGACCGUUGUAUACCGUUCCGAAAACGAUACACAACCAUCUUCUUGAUGGCUGUAUAUCAAUCGAAAACGUUCCGAUACAACCACAACUGUAUACAACCAUUUUCAGAUGAUUGUUUCCGAAGAUGGCUGUGUUUUUGGAACUGGUUGUAUACCGUUGUAUUGGUAUAACAUCUUCAACGUCUGGUUGUAACGGUAUACUAUCUACAGAUGAUUGUAUACCGUUUUCGGUUGGAAUACAACCAUCUUUUCAGAUGGUUGUAUUCCAACCGAACAACCAGACCGUAACAACGGUCUGGUUGUAUACCGUUGUAGAGGUAUACCAUCUUCAGAUGGUUGUAUUCCAAACGAAAACGGUAUACAACCAUCUGAAAGAUGGUAUACCGCUACAACAGUCCCCCGUUACAAACCGUAACCAGAUCGUUGUAGC